CCAACAGGGAUUGCCUCAGUAACGGCGAGUGAAGCGGCAAGAGCUCAGAUUUGAAAUCCGGCAUGCUAUGUGUGCCCGAGUUGUAAUCUGGAGAGAGGUCUUCGGCUUAGGCAUCGGUCAAGAUUCCUUGGAAUAGGAUGACACAGAGGGUGAGAAUCCCGUACCUGGCUGACCGCCAACGCCAUGUGAAGCUUCUUCGACGAGUCGAGUUGUUUGGGAAUGCAGCUCUAAAUGGGUGGUAAAUUCCAUCUAAAGCUAAAUAUCUGCGAGAGACCGAUAGCGCACAAGUAGAGUGAUCGAAAGAUGAAAAGCACCUUUGAAAAGAGAGNCAAAAAGUACGUGAAAUUGUUGAAAGG
Molecule: ribosomal RNA, 356 nt
Filed under: uncultured fungus
Lineage: Eukaryota; Fungi
Description: LSU rRNA
Rfam family: Eukaryotic large subunit ribosomal RNA
Source: RNAcentral